This 1967-nucleotide long non-coding RNA is filed under the name Equus asinus (donkey). RNAcentral's name for it is "lncRNA (ENSEASG00005024898.1)". The record is from RNAcentral. Lineage: Eukaryota; Metazoa; Chordata; Mammalia; Perissodactyla; Equidae.
AGGAGCAGUGAAGUAGUUCACUUUUGCUAACAGCACUGUGCUUUAAAUGGAGGGAGUCAAGUCUUCCACACUCUCCCUAAUUGGCCCCCUCACUUUUUCCUUUUUACUGCUGUCUCCUCUUCCUCCAACAGAAAAGGAAGAGAGCAAAGUAGGUAACAAUCCAAAAGGAGCAACUCUCAAGAAGAGGCAAGAGAUGGUUUAACUCAUUCUAAAUCUUUAUUCUGCAGCAGUAAGGAGAGUAGUUCCGUAGAUGGUCUACCAUGAGGUUCAGGAACUAAAGACCCCCAUCAAUGCACAAAAGGAUCAGAGUUCCAGUUCCACUGCACAGAUUGGAGAAUAUGUGAAUAUUGCCCAGCAGAAACUGAAAUCAACUUUCCACAUUUACAUUUUACAGUAGAUAAUGCCUUCCGAACCCUUUAAAAAUGUAUCAAUGUGCGUUGAAGCUCCCUAAAUACUGAUUCAAUAUUUCUAAUGUAAGACUAGGACCACAAUUAUGGCUUCUUGCAUAUAAUGUAAAAAAUUCCACAGCAAAUUUAAUAGACACUUCAGUUUCCAAAGUGACACCAUCAUUUGUGUGUGUGUGCGCCCUGGCUGGCAAUACUGUUGAAUGUGCAUUCCCAAUACACAUGUAAAUGGUGAACUGAACAAAAUAUACUGUUAGGUGAGGGAAUCUUGACAGUUUAAUGCUGUAUGUUACAAAUUUCUGAAAGAACAAAUUUCGUCUAUUGGAAAAAGAUAUCUUCUUCAUAUGACUUACAAUGUCAUGAUCAGAGCAGUCCUUUUAUUUUUCUUAUAAGUCAGAAAAUAAAAUAAACUCCAAUAAGACAGAAAAUUGAGCAACUGUGUCAAGGGCAGCCCUUCCCUUUAGUUCUAUAGCAAAGCGAGGCAAGUGGAGAGAUCAAGUGAGGAAGUGUAAAUCAUUCAUGGGCCUGAUGUGUAGCUUUUCUUGCUAACCAGAUUCAUUUUCCUAAAUGGUGUUUGGGAUUAGAUGUAUGUGGGUCAGUAAUACUCUGUGAGGGAUGCUAUACUUGCAGAGUCCGGGGCUAAUUAGCUCAGACCAUGACUCAGCACGAACAUCUCUCUUCUACAAUUGCAUCCAUCUGUGGCUGAAGAGCUGCGCUAAUCAGGAAGCUACCCCAACCAGCAAAGAUCAGAACAACUGAAAAAAGGGUAUUCACAAUAAAAAGUCAAAGUUUAAUCUAGAAAGUUGGCAGCUGGAGGAGAUCAACACAAACAGCCUCUGUUCCAGCACUGCAGUGAUGAAUUCAAGUUCCCUCUGUGCUCUGCAAAAUGCCUGCAGCAAACAGCUCAUCAAGAGAAUCCUACAGAAAUGCCUCUACAGCUGGGGUCAGAGUGGCUUUUGAGACCUUCUUUAACUCAGAGGGAGAGAGCAAAACAAAUUCUUUCAAGCUGAUUAUUACCUGGAAGAUUCUCCCACUGUAAGGUUGUUUCUUAUCUUCUUCUACGAGACGUCGCCCUUCUGAAAGAAUAUCUUCAUCACAACUGAGAAAGUGAACCAAGAAAGAGGAAGCCUUGCAAUUCAGGAGUCUAGGAUUUCAAUGCAAGAAAGAUAAAGGAAAUUCCUAACAUCAUGGUGAGAAGAAAUCUUAGGAUAACAAUUACACAGAGAUCCCAGAUGGCAAUCAAUUCAGACUAUCCCAGAUUAUGCUUUGGCCGGGAAAUUUUAUCAAAAGGUAGAUGAAAGUUAAUAAACUUAAUAACAGAUUUGUUAACAGACCUAAAAAACAUUUAGGCAAAUGAAAAAGAGGAAAAAGAAAUGUAGAAAGAUAAAAGGUUAGUCUAAAAGGGAAAAGGUGUUAAUAAUACACUACGUGGUUAAGUAUGCAAUAUUAAUUAUUAACAAUAAAAAUAUUAUUUUAUUCUUAAUAAAUUAGUUUAACCUCAUUCGUGACAUAAUAGUAUUGGAAAGAUCGAAGAGUGACAGGUGAUACGAAAAAAGGCUAUCA